AGAGAUGUGUGAUGACGCAUAUCAAUAAGCGGAGGAAAAGGAACUAACUAGGAUUCCCUCAGUAACGGCGAGUGAAGCGGGAAGAGCUCAAAUUUGAAAUCUUCAAGGUUCUACCUUGACGAAUUGUAGUUUAAAGAAGUGUUUUCUGUUGGAGUUUUGGUAAAAGUUCUUUGGAAUAGGACAUCAUAGAGGGUGAGAAUCCCGUAUUUGAUCAUUCUUUCCAACUUUGUGAUACACUUUCAACGAGUCGGAUUGUUUGGGAAUGCAUGUCCAAAAUGGGUGGUAAAUUUCAUCUAAAGCUAAAUAUUGGCGAGAGACCGAUAGCGAACAUGUACCGUGAGGGAAAGAUGAAAAGAACUUUGAAAAGAGAGUUAAACAGUACGUGAAAUUGUCAAAAGGGAAGCGUUUGACACCAGUGUUGUUUUUCCGAAAAGUCAAUUACGAAUGUUUUGUUUUUAAGAAGUUAUGACUUCAUCGGCUUGCUUCUUUCUUUACGAAACUUUCUUAAUGCACUUUUCGGUUAACAAGUCAACAUCAAUUUCUUUUGUUGUAAAAGGGUACGAGGAAGGUGGCUUUCUUUUCGGAGAAAGUGUUUAUAGCCUUGUAGCCUCUGCAAUCGGAGAAAUUGAGGUCUGCAGCGUAGAUCCUUCGGGGUUAGAUACAUUUGUGCUAAGUUACAGCUUUUCAUAGACAACUUGUUGACUAUGUUUAGUCUUGUAGCUUACUCGCUUAUGCUAUUUUACCUACGCUUAGGAUGUUGAAGAUGUAGCACAUCAU
RNAcentral lists this ribosomal RNA (777 nucleotides) under uncultured Neocallimastigales. Its description in RNAcentral is "partial large subunit ribosomal RNA". It matches the Rfam family "Eukaryotic large subunit ribosomal RNA", at positions 23 to 639 of the family's 3401-position model. The record is from RNAcentral. Lineage: Eukaryota; Fungi; Neocallimastigomycota; Neocallimastigomycetes; Neocallimastigales.